Molecule: ribosomal RNA, 254 nt
Filed under: uncultured bacterium
Lineage: Bacteria
Description: partial 16S ribosomal RNA
Rfam family: Bacterial small subunit ribosomal RNA
Source: RNAcentral
UACAGAGGUCCCAAGCGUUGUCCGGAAUUAUUGGGCGUAAAGAGCUCGUAGGCGGUGUGUCGCGUCGGCCGUGAAAACCUGCAGCUUAACUGUGGGCUUGCGGUCGAUACGGGCAUCACUGGAGUUCGGCAGGGGAGACUGGAAUUCCUGGUGUAGCGGUGAAAUGCGCAGAUAUCAGGAGGAACACCGGUGGCGAAGGCGGGUCUCUGGCCCGGUUCUGACGCUGAGGCGCGAAAGCGUGGGGAGCAAACAGG